This is a long non-coding RNA of Candoia aspera, 487 nucleotides long. RefSeq lists it as uncharacterized. The record is from RefSeq and is a predicted model, not a curated record. Lineage: Eukaryota; Metazoa; Chordata; Lepidosauria; Squamata; Candoiidae. The transcript has 2 exons.
AGAUUUAAGUUACAGGAUGGCAGAUUCCAGCUGAAUGUCAGAAAAAACUUCCAAACAUUAAGAGCAGAUCUUCAAAGGAACAAGUUACUAAGAAAGGAAAUUGCAUUCUCCUGUUAAUCCAUCCUGGCCACCUAUGAUUUAUGCAAACCAUAGUUUGCUUAGUCUGGAUGAAACAGCUCACUGUGGCUUGCUAUGAAAGAAGAAGACAAAGAGGAAAAUGAAGAGGAGAUGGGAGAUGGUGAGGCAGGAAGAAAUGCACAACUGAAUGAGAAUACUGAUUGACUUUCGGUGAAGAAAUCAGAGAAAGGUUUAUAAAAGGGUGGAUUCUGGGCAGAUAUGAUCCUGCCAGGCUCAAUAUUCAUAUUGAGGAUUAAUAUGCAAGUUGCAAUAACUGACAGAACCUGGAAGGGUGGCAGGAUUUGUCACAGAAAGGUAAUACAUCAAAAUAAAUGAAGAAAAUGUUAUUACAAACAUAUUACAAAAUCUA